Haemorhous mexicanus (house finch) is the source of this 1825-nucleotide long non-coding RNA. RefSeq lists it as uncharacterized. The transcript is spliced from 2 exons. Lineage: Eukaryota; Metazoa; Chordata; Aves; Passeriformes; Fringillidae. The record is from RefSeq and is a predicted model, not a curated record.
AACUACGUAAGACAUACCUUGCAUGCCACUUACCUUACGUCCACUUUGAACUUGGCUGGGCUCAAAGUCGGAAUGCAAGUUUCCAACCAAGGUAUCACAGGGUACAGCCAUGCCUGACAGUUGUGUUGGGAGCAAACAGUAAACAAUGUCAGCAGCGAAGUAUCUCUCUCCAUCACUCAACCCUACUGUUUUUUUCAGGAAGCACUGAGAACUGGGACAUGUGACAUUGCCUUGAAAAACGAUGAAGCCUUGUUUCCUCCACACUUGCAGUGUGGAGCUUGGUGGCCACAGCUGUGGGGCUGGCAGAAAAACACUUCCUGGGCAGCUGUGCCAAGGAUUAUGCAGAGUUCCCAAAGCCAAGCAUCAUGCUGCCUUUCCCCCCUCACCCCCUGAAGCCCAGCAGCAGCUCAGUUGGAGUGAGACAAGAUUUUCUACUGAACGGCCUCACUUCUUCAAAACCUCACUACUCAGAAACAUGCAUAGUAGAAAAGAUGUAUGCACCUCCAUUCCUCAAUUGCAGCAGAAUUGCACAACAAACACUGCAAGAGGCCAGACUGCUGCUGUGGAUCAGACAGACAAUGACCGGCACAACUUUCUCCAAGGCACCAAACAAGUCUCUGACAGGGCACCAAACUACAAGCCAUCAAGUUUCAAGCUGGGCAUCCAGUGACAGCCUCCAACAUCCUCUCUAUGACAGCAAAUAUGAACUAUAGACAUUGGAUACCAAAAGGUUUUUCUUGCUGGCAGAAAAAAUGCCACAUGACAAUCUUUUCAUAAUUGUGUCAGGUAUCUCUGUCAGAAGACAGUAAAAUUCUUUCCUCAGGUUGUGUUUAAAUUUUAUUUCUGGCCCUGAAACACAGAGGGAAGAGAAAGGCUCAUAAAAAAAAAAACCCAAAAGAUAAAUCCUAUUUCUAACCCAAAUUUGCACUGUAGCUACAGGAUAGUUGCACCAAAACAUAGGAAACCUGGCGUGAAUGGUUGUUCAAGAUUCUAAUUGGAGAUGGAGAAAAGGAAAAUUGAAAAGACAGAGGCAGAGAUCAAGGCACAGCAAAUAGCAAAAUCCUGGGGUCACAUUCUGCACACUGCCAAGGCACAAGAACAGAGCAUCUUUUAGGAGCUGAGCCAGUGACACAGCAAUAUUGCUGAGAUGGACAAAAAAAAGGCCAGGCUGGAUUGGGCUUUGAGCAUCCUGGUCUAGUGGAAGUUGUCCCUGCUCACGGCAGGGGAGUUGGAACUAGAUGAGCUUUAAGGUCCCUUCAACCCAAACCAUUCCAAGAUUCUCCAAUACCUUUGGCCAAAUGCCUUUUAAGGCCUAAAUGGUAUUUUCACGCUUUUUCACUACUGUCCAGAGGCUCACACUCAGCACCAGCCCCAGAGCAGUGGGAUGGGACACAAUGCACCCAAACAUGUCCUCUUCCAAACAGCAGCUCCCCAGAUGGAGCAACAGUAGCUCUCCGUGACAACAAAGUAAGACACAAAACAAGUACUAACAAGAGCAAAGCAGCAAAAAGAUUCUGUAAAAAAAUAAAUCCAUCCAUCCAUCCUACAUCCAAUUUUGUUCUACACAGGAUACCUGUGAAAUAGCAAAUAUUAAAAAUAAUUUAAAAAGCCGAAAUAACAAUCAAAAAAGGGCCAACUCAACCUUUACAGCAGACUAUGAAGUACAGAGCUGCUACCAUGAAUAAGUAGAUUGUAAAUGAAAUAUUUUUUUGUAUCAGCUGAUGAGAGACAUUAUGUAAGUUCAAACAUUGCUUUGCUUGUAAUCUUUUGUCAACAUAAAACUGCUAAAAAAUUAAUUAUUUAAAUAAAGUUUUUGUGACGACAA